RNAcentral lists this ribosomal RNA (276 nucleotides) under Salmonella enterica subsp. enterica serovar Typhimurium. Its description in RNAcentral is "partial 16S ribosomal RNA". It matches the Rfam family "Bacterial small subunit ribosomal RNA", at positions 1 to 271 of the family's 1533-position model. The record is from RNAcentral. Lineage: Bacteria; Pseudomonadati; Pseudomonadota; Gammaproteobacteria; Enterobacterales; Enterobacteriaceae.
UUAAAUUGAAGAGUUUGAUCAUGGCUCAGAUUGAACGCUGGCGGCAGGCCUAACACAUGCAAGUCGAACGGUAACAGGAAGCAGCUUGCUGCUUCGCUGACGAGUGGCGGACGGGUGAGUAAUGUCUGGGAAACUGCCUGAUGGAGGGGGAUAACUACUGGAAACGGUGGCUAAUACCGCAUAACGUCGCAAGACCAAAGAGGGGGACCUUCGGGCCUCUUGCCAUCAGAUGUGCCCAGAUGGGAUUAGCUUGUUGGUGAGGUAACGGCUCACCAA